Molecule: ribosomal RNA, 297 nt
Filed under: Lactiplantibacillus plantarum
Lineage: Bacteria; Bacillati; Bacillota; Bacilli; Lactobacillales; Lactobacillaceae
Description: Lactobacillus plantarum partial 16S ribosomal RNA
Rfam family: Bacterial small subunit ribosomal RNA
Source: RNAcentral
GCAGUAGGGAAUCUUCCACAAUGGACGAAAGUCUGAUGGAGCAACGCCGCGUGAGUGAAGAAGGGUUUCGGCUCGUAAAACUCUGUUGUUAAAGAAGAACAUAUCUGAGAGUAACUGUUCAGGUAUUGACGGUAUUUAACCAGAAAGCCACGGCUAACUACGUGCCAGCAGCCGCGGUAAUACGUAGGUGGCAAGCGUUGUCCGGAUUUAUUGGGCGUAAAGCGAGCGCAGGCGGUUUUUUAAGUCUGAUGUGAAAGCCUUCGGCUCAACCGAAGAAGUGCAUCGGAAACUGGGAAA